RNAcentral lists this long non-coding RNA (1281 nucleotides) under Coturnix japonica (Japanese quail). RNAcentral describes it as "lncRNA (ENSCJPG00005012450.1)". Lineage: Eukaryota; Metazoa; Chordata; Aves; Galliformes; Phasianidae. The record is from RNAcentral.
UGGGCUGUGGUUUUCUAUUUGGCAAUAGUGCAGCUUAAAUGAAUGUAUGCUGUCCCUCCAGCUCCCCUGUCCAGCCCAGACCUGGUUUGUGCUGCAGCCACAAACAGCAGCACCAGCACAACAUGGGGCCUUCUCCUUCUGCAGCUCACUGCUUGGAAAGAUUUCAGGAGUGCUUCUGUCCCAUUUUAAGCCCUACAGUUCAGCAGCCAAAUAUAAAGAAAUCAGAUGAAUCUGGACAGCGUGAGGCCCUGAAAUGCUGUCUUGGAUUUUCACACCAGUAAGGCAAAGAAACAGGAGUGUCCAUGCAAAUCCACAAGCGUGUGUUUGACUUCUCUGUUAGUAAGCAGCAAUAGCCAUUGUCACACAUGUGUAGGGCAGGCUAUAAAUAACCCUCCAAGGAAAAGUGAGUCCAGCUUUGGUUCCUUCCAUAAGGACAAGUGGUUGGUUGGGCUCACAUGUCACACUAGGCACAUAACCCCCUGGAAUUAACCCUAAUCACACGGCUUGGUUCCUUACCUCACUUUGAGCAGUGAGAAGUGUUGAUUGCAUUACAGCUACUUCCUUUUCAUGAAAACACCAGUGAAGGGAACACCAGAAAUGGCUGGUGUGUGCUGUAUCAGUUACAUUGUCAGUGGUGCCUCUGCUAAAAUGUGUUUCUGUACAAUUCAGUGAUUGACUCCAUCACAGACUGCUUUUCUACUUGACUGGAGUAGACUUGACUAGUAGACUUUUGGACUGGAGUAGACUUUUCUACUUGACUCAAUUUCUGGGCAAUACAAUACAGUAGGUUGGAGAGAUAAUGAAAAUUAGAAGAUUUACCAAAAUCAGAAAUCGUUGGUGAAAGCUCGUUCUGUCCCUAAGUGCCUUCUCUCAGCUAUUUUCUAGAGAAACUCCCUAGUUCCAAAAUCCCAUAUUAAUGAACGUAGAUAUGGGCAUCUGCUCCGCUGUCUGGGUUUGUGCUGCUGGUGAACACCCACCCUGUUCUGCACGUGACAGCAAAGGAUCCUCAUGGGAGCUGUAAGAAGGGAGAGGGGCUGGGCUGGCUGCAAAGGGCUCAGCUGCCUCACUGAAGCCUCAAGGGUGAUGUUCAGCCCUUUCACAGAAUGGGAGAAUUUCAGGUGGGCAGGAUGGUCUAUGGGCACCAGCCAGCAUCUGGAGGCAGCCGAGUCUCCACAGCUGCACCUGCUUGGCGUCACUUCACCCUUACAGAUGCCCCUUAGCAUCUUCCUAUAACCAGCAUGGGAAUUCUGGUCCACUGGUCCCAUACCCAGUCCACAAACU